This 217-nucleotide ribosomal RNA is filed under the name uncultured Geobacter sp. Its description in RNAcentral is "partial 16S ribosomal RNA". It matches the Rfam family "Bacterial small subunit ribosomal RNA", at positions 1170 to 1382 of the family's 1533-position model. Lineage: Bacteria; Pseudomonadati; Thermodesulfobacteriota; Desulfuromonadia; Geobacterales; Geobacteraceae. The record is from RNAcentral.
AAGGUGGGGGAUGACGUCAAGUCAGCAUGGCCCUUACUCCGGGGGCUACACACGUGCUACAAUGGCCGGGUACAAAGGGUUGCGAAGCCGUGAGGUGGAGCGAAUCUCAAAAAGCCGGCCUCAGUUCGGAUUGGAGGCUGCAACUCGCCUCCAUGAAGUCGGAAUCGCUAGUAACCGCAGAUCAGCUACGUUGCGGUGAAGUACGUUCCCGGGCCUU